Molecule: ribosomal RNA, 1065 nt
Filed under: Triticum aestivum (bread wheat)
Lineage: Eukaryota; Viridiplantae; Streptophyta; Magnoliopsida; Poales; Poaceae
Description: partial small subunit ribosomal RNA
Source: RNAcentral
AUGGUCUACGGGCCCACGGGCUCCGGGAAGAGCCACACUAUGUUCGGCUCGGACGAGCAGCCCGGCGUCGUGUACCGCGCGCUCACGGACGUCCUAGAGGGAGGCGGCGACGGCGACGGCGAGAGCCUCGUGAGGGUCUCCGUGCUCGAGAUCUACAAUGAGCAGGUCUACGAUCUGCUCGCCGGCAGCGGAGGAGCCAAUCCCAAGGUAAGGCUAGAACUGAUGGGAACAAGAGCCAAGAAUGCAGCAUAUAUAUCUGGAAAUGAAGCAGGGAAGCUAUCAAGAGAAGUCGCCGAUGUGGAGAAGCGGCGCGCUGCGAAGGGCACGAGCUGUAACGCGAGGAGUUCGCGGAGCCACUGCAUGAUAAUCUUGGAUGUGCCAUCAGUAGGAGGAAGGCUCAUGCUCGUGGACAUGGCUGGCUCUGAGAACAUAGAAGCUGCAGGCCAAACUGGACAUGAAGCCAAAUCUGAGACGGGAAGAAUUAAUCAAGGGAACACGACGCUGAAGCGGGUGGUUGAGUCGAUUGCCAACGGUGACUCACAUGUCCCAUUCCGGGACAGCAAGCUCACAAUGCUACUACGGGACUCAUUCGAUGACGAGGGAUCCAAAAUCCUCAUGAUCCUGUGUGCAAGCCCUGACCCAAAGGACCUCCACAAGACGAUCUCCACCCUGGAGUAUGGAGCCCGAGCGAAAUGCACCCGUGCAGCAGCUCACGCCUCGACACCGUCGGGCAAGAUGAGCUCCAAAGACGCCGGGUACGAGAUGCGGUUGAAGGACGAGGAGAUUGCACGUCUGAGGAUGAAGGUCAGGUUGAUGGAAGCAGCCGCGAAGGAGGAAGAGAUCCGCGUGAAGGCCGUAGAUGAGGAGACCCGGGUACUGAGAAGUGAGAUGAGGAUGAUGGAAGAGAAUAUGCUUAUGCAGCACCAGGAGCUCCUUGCUGUGAAUCAGCGGCUGCAGCAGGUGGAGCGCGAGAAGCUCGACGUGGAGGAUGAGUCGCACCUGGCCUGGAGGGUCAUGAUGAAACUUGCAGUCUACUUGCAAAACCUGGGCAGCCCACUUGAGUGA